RNAcentral lists this long non-coding RNA (2133 nucleotides) under Nicotiana tabacum (common tobacco). Its description in RNAcentral is "long non-coding RNA (NTAB_LNC000180)". Lineage: Eukaryota; Viridiplantae; Streptophyta; Magnoliopsida; Solanales; Solanaceae. The record is from RNAcentral.
CGACAUCAGUGAGUUACCUGUACACGGAGACUUCGAGGUAUAUCUGCCAGCGUCCGCAGACUCCGGAGUCCCCUUCUAUCAUUAUUAUGCUGCUUUCUUAUUUUUUUUAGACCUUGAUAUAUAUAGAGACAUUGAGGAUAAAAUUCUUAGAUGCUUGUGACUUAUUUCUACCAGGUUUUGGGAGUUGCAAUUAUUUAAAGUUUUAGAUUUCUAUUUUUAUUGCGCAUUGAUAGGCUUACCUAGUCUUAGAGACUAGGUGCCAUCACGACAUCCUACGGAGGGAAUUUGGGGUCGUGACAAGGCGAGUUUCAAGAGUCAUUUUCUUUCCCAAAGUGUUGGCAAGUGAUUCUAAACCAUUUUCUUUCAAUUACCCAUUACAUUUCAUGAAUUAUUAACCUAAAAUCUAGAAUUUUUAUGGUAAAAUUAGGGGUUAGGGUAGAAAUUAGGGAUUUCGGAAAUUAGGGGAUUUAGACCUCAAUUUGAGGUCGGAUUCCAAAACCAAUUAUAUAUUUGGGCUCGGAGGUGAAUGAGUAAAUGGAUUUUGGUCUGAACCUCGAGUUUUGACUAAGCGGGCCUAGGGUCGAUUUUUGACUUUUUGGAGAAAAAUUUAAUUUAUGCAAUAUAAUUGAUUCCUUUAGCAAUAUUUGAUAUUAUUGAGUCAUUUUUGAAUAGAUACGAGUGGUUUGGAGGUGAAUUCUAGAGGAAAAGUUGUGAUUGAGAAUUAAGUGGCCUUCGGAACAAGGUAAGUGUUGUGUGUAACCCUGGCUUGAGGGAAUUAGGGACCUUAGACUAUUUGCUAUGUAAAAUUCAUGUGAGUGGCGUAUAUGUGAGGUGACGAGUACUUAUGCGCCGCCAAUUUACCUGUUUUCCAUGUUUCUUCCAUUUUUCUUAUAUUGUCUCUUUCCUAUGCCUAAUUGCUACGUGUUUAUACUAGUAUUGUUAAAUUGAUCGUUCUUAUCAUGUGUACGGAUUAUCUGGUGAUAAUUGAGUAUUUAUUUCAAAGUUGAGAUUGAUAUUGUGGAACCAAAUGUUGAAGUAAGGCUUGUACUUGUUAAUUUAUCUCCAUGUUGUUAUAUAUGCAUUGCAUUAUGGUAAAGGAGAGUGUUAAUGCACGAAGGGUGAUGCCGUGCCAUAUUAUGAGUGUAAAAGCACGAAGGGUGAUGCCGUGCCAUAUUGUUAGUGUAAAAGCACAAAGGGUGAUGCUGUGCCAUAUUGUGAGUGUAAAAGCACGAAGGGUGAUGCCGUGCCAUAUUGUGAGUGUUAAUGCACGAAGGGUGAUGCUGUGCCAUGAUAUGAGAGUUAAUGCACGAAGGGUGAUGCCGUGCCGUUUCUAUUGAUUUUUAUGGUGAGGUUGAGAGUAAAGGCACGAAGGGUGAUGUCGUGCAUUUUUCCUUUAUUGUAUUCGUGUUCCUGUUGAUUCAUUAUAUAUUGGUUGUUCCAGUUAUCAUUCUGCUGUAGUUCUUUAUUUCGUAUUUCCUUCAGCAUGUUUCCCCCUCCCUAUAAUUCCUGUCUAGCUCUUCAUUACUGUUAUUUGUAUAUACAAUGUUAAAUUAUACAAGUUGAUUUGUAGGUGCCUUGCCUUAGCCUCGUUACUACUUCGUCGAGGUUAGGCUCGACACUUACCAGUACAUGGGGUCGAUUGUACUGAUACUGCACUUUGCACUUUCUGUGCAGAUAUUUAGUACCGGCUCAGGUUGAUCGAGAUUUUUGCUGUUGGACCGCUAUCCGGAGACUCAAUGUAGAUCUGUCGGCAUUUACAGACCUUGAAGUCCCCGUCUAUCUUUUCUAUUCUACUAUUUCCUUCAUUCAAACAAUUAUAUUUCUUUUAGGCUAUUAUUUGUAGUGAAUUUUAGAAUGCUCGUGAAUUAGGACUCCAGAUCUGGGUGGUAGUAAUUAAGGCAGUUUUUUUAUAUUAUUCCGCACUCACCAUAUUUCACCUUAGCUAAUGGUUGUUAUUUACUGAAUGGAAUAAGGAUUGGUUUAAAUGAUUCUCUCACGUUGGCUUGCCUAGCAAGUGAAAUAUUAGGCGCCAUCACGGUCCCGACAGUGGGAAUUCUGGGUCGGGACAGGUGGUUGGUUUGGCUUUUGAGUAGAACUAAUGAAAUAAGGAGAAAGGUGCAAUGUAUUGAAAAA